CCCAGUAAACGGCGGCCGUAACUAUAACGGUCCUAAGGUAGCGAAAUUCCUUGUCAGGUAAGUUCUGACCCGCACGAAAGGUGUAAUGAUUUGAGCACUGUCUCGACAACACGCCCGGUGAAAUUGAAGAACCAGUGAAGAUACUGGUUACCCGCAACAGGACGGAAAGACCCCAUGGAGCUUUACUGCAGCUUAAUAUUGGGAUUCGGUAUUGUAUGUACAGGAUAGGAGGGAGACUAAGAAGCUUGCACGCCAGUGUAGGUGGAGUCGAUGUUGGGAUACCUCUCUUAUAAUACUGAAUUUCUAACCUACCGCCAUAAUCUGGUGGAGGGACAUUGUUAGGCGGGCAGUUUGACUGGGGCGGUCGCCUCCGAAAGAGUAACGGAGGCGCUCAAAGGUCUUCUCAGAAUGAUUGGAAACCAUUCAAAGAGUGUAAAGGCAGAAGAAGGCUUGACUGCGAGAGCGACGGUUCGAGCAGGUACGAAAGUAGGACUUAGUGAUCCGGUGGUAACACGUGGGAGUGCCAUCGCUUAACGGAUAAAAGCUACCCUGGGGAUAACAGGCUUAUCUCCCCCAAGAGUUCACAUCGACGGGGAGGUUUGGCACCUCGAUGUCGGCUCAUCGCAUCCUGGAGCUGAAGUCGGUUCCAAGGGUUGGGCUGUUCGCCCAUUAAAGCGGUACGCGAGCUGGGUUCAGAACGUCGUGAGACAGUUCGGUCCCUAUCCGUUGUGGGCGUAGGAAAUUUGAGAGGAGCUGUCCUUAGUACGAGAGGACCGGGAUGGACGAACCUCUGGUGUAUCUGUUGGUAACCAAUGCCACGGCAGAGUAGCCAAGUUUGGAAGGGAUAAACGCUGAAGGCAUCUAAGCGUGAAGCCCCCCUCAAGACUAGAUUUCCCAUCCUACGGGAGUAAGAACCCUUACAGACGAUAAGGUUGAUAGGCUGGAGAUGUAAGCACAGUAAUGUGUUGAGUUGACCAGUACUAAUAGUUCGAGGGCUUGUCUAA
Molecule: ribosomal RNA, 1004 nt
Filed under: human gut metagenome
Description: bacterial LSU rRNA
Rfam family: Bacterial large subunit ribosomal RNA
Source: RNAcentral